AUGUCGUCCGCGCCGCCCGCCCACCAACCCAAACCCUCCUACCAGCGCCGCCCUCCCAACUCCGGGCCGAGACAGCAGCCGCCGCCGCCGCAGCACCAGCAGCAGCGCUACGUCCCCAAAUCCGCCGCCCCUUCCGCUCCUAAACCCUCGCCCCCACCACCGCUCACCACCGCCCUCCGAUCAUCGGCCACCCCGCCUGCAUCUAGCGCCGGCAGCAGCGGCGGCGGCGGUGCGGCCGAUGGGUUCGUGUUCUACCUGCCGCACGACGAGGCGCUCGCGGCCGGGCUCGGCGGCCUCGACGCCCAGGAGUCGCAGGCCGUCGUCGACCUCCUCAACGACGCGCUCGCGUCGCUCCUCCGUGCCAAGCCUCGCGAGUUCUGGCGCCAGGUGGCACAGAAUGCCUCUCUGCAUGCAUUCCUAGAUAGUUACCUACAAUUCAGACACCGGUGGUAUGAUUUGCCACACAGGGGCCCCAAAGGGACAGUUGCUGGUUUGGUUGUUGGGGAGCUUGAGCUUUGCCGCCGUGUCUUUAUGGUCCUCUACCGCAUAUCAUCAAACAAGGAUCCUGGAUCAGGCCCGGGUGAGUCCCUUAGUACGAAGGAGCAUACAGCCCUUCUACAGGAGAAAAAACUGCUUGAUCUACCAAAGUUGUUGGAUAUAUGUGCUAUAUAUGGGCAUGACAAUGGGGAGUUGACAAGUUCACUGGUUACAAAUGCAAUCAUUGUGCAGCCCAAUUUACUCGAUGGCAUCAAUACUGUCCUUCCCCAAUUCCUGGACAUUUUCCACACAAUGCAGGACAGAUGCAUGGACUCACUACAGGUGCUCAGUUCACCUGGACCAAAUGUCAGUGGACAUACCCAGCUUCAGAAAGAUUUCUCGGAGGUGCUGGAUUUUGUUAAUGAUGCAAUUAUUACUCUGGAUGCCUUUGCUGAUGCUUACCAGCCUGCUGCAUUAUUAUUAUGUGCUUCUUUUGAAAGAGGGGAUCGAGUUGAGGAAUUGCUGAACACCCUUGCAAGUUUGUAUGAUUUGUUGUUACCAUCUUUGCUUCAGGGGUUUCAAGUUAUGUCCAGUUCCCAAAGCAAUGGAGAGACUUCGUCUGAAAGUAUACUUAAUGACAUAGUUCUUGGCAUAAGAAUGCUAUCAAAGAGAGCUGUUGGAUUUGGUUGGAGAUUAUUAGAGUUCUGCUAUUUAAAUUAUCAACUUAAGGAGGAGGAUGUCCAAGCAUCUACUAAGAUGUUUCCAGCUAAAGUCGAAGAUCCUAUGAUCAGGGGAGAAAUAAUAGUUCAAAUACUCAAGGAUAUCAAUAGAGAAGCUACUUACUCUUCUAAAGGGAAUCCUGGAAAGACGUUUCUGCAAGCUCUUCAAAAGGAAUUUCAGUUGAUGAGCCGGAUUGGCGAUAUUCGGAACAAAGGAUGGAUAUACAUGGAGGAUGAGCAGUUCCAGUUCAUAUCACGGCUGUGCGGAUCCACUGUCACUUCUUGGAAUAGUGUCCCUGAUUUGCCAAUAUCUUCCCAUGGUGGUGAACUUCAACAGAAGAAUGAGGAAGCUGCUGUCAUUGAGUCCAAGAUUAGUCAGAUAAGGGACCUUCUUCCUCAUUAUGGGAAAGGUUUCCUUGCUGCUUGCUUGGAAGCCUACAACCAGAACCCUGAGGAAGUUAUCCAAAGGAUACUAGAUGGAACACUUCAUCAGGAUCUUCUAGCUUUAGAUACUUCGUUACAAGAGAUGCCACAACAAAAAUCUGCACCUAGUGUUGCGAAAGAUAAAGGCAAAGGCGUAUUAGUGGAAACUAUUCCUAAUAUUGCAAAUAAACCCCAUAAAGUUGAAGCCCAAUCUUCUUCAGUCUCAUCAGCAUCCAAGGCUCCUAUCUCAUAUUUAUCUUCAGUUUCAUCAGCAUCCAAGGCUCCUGCCUCAUCUGCAUCAUCAGUUCCACAAGGUAGAUUUACAAGGAAGACCAAUGAUGAUCUGCCCAACUUUGCAGUUCUAGACUCGCAAAAAGCCAAAGACGCUGUUAAGUCAGCUGUCCUUGAUUCCCAGUAUGAGUACGAGGAUGAGUAUGAUGACUCGUUUGAUGAUCUUGGCUUCAGCGUGGCGGAGUCAAGUUACGAGGAAGCAGAGGGCGCCAAUGAUGCUGAGGGUUCCUCCAGUGGCCCACGUUGGUCUUCACAGAAGAAGCCACAGUUUUAUGUCAAGGACGGGAAGAACUACAGCUACAAGGUUGCUGGUUCAGUUGCUGUAUCAAAUGCUCGAGAGGCAGCAGUCUUAAACAAUACUCAGAAAGAUACAAUUCAUGGUCUUGGUCGUGGUGGAAAUUUACCUAUUGGUGGAAAUUUACCUAUGGGAGUUCCCAACAGGCAGCAUAGAGUUGUGGAGGAAGAGGAGGGUGGUCAUGCAAACAGCUUCAGCAGAGGAGGCUCGAAUCCCCGUGGUCGGGGCAGGGGCAGAAGAGGUGGCUGGGAUCAGGGUAACCCAGCAGAGGAGAACGAGAAUUCUAGUGGGCCACAAAGUUUUGGCCGUGAUGGAAGAAGAGGCGGCAGGAACCAUGGCAACCUGCCAGAGGUAAACGAUGGCCAACAAGGUUUUGGCCGUGGUGCAAGAAGAGGGACCGGGGAUGAUGACAAUCGACCAGAAAUGAACAACCACUCUAAUGUCCAGCAAGGUUUUGGUCGUGGCGCAAGAAGAGGGGCCAGGGACGAGGACAACCGGCCAGAGGUGAACAACCAUCCUAAUGCCCAGCAAGGUUUUGGUCGUGGCGCAAGAAGAGGGGACAGGGACGAGGACAACAGGCCAGAAGGGAAUAACCAUGGCCAGCAAGGUUUUGGUCGUGGUGGAAGAAGAGGGGACAGGGACGAAGACAACAGGCCAGAAGGGAAUAACCAUGGCCAGCAAGGUUUUGGUCGUGGUGGAAGAAGAGGGGACAGGGAAGAGGACAACAGGCCAGAAGUGAAUAACCAUGGCCAGCAAGGUUUUGGCCGUGGUGCAAGAAGAGGGGACAGGAACCAUGACGAUCCAGUGGAGGACAAUGAAGACCGUAAUGCAGCACAAGGUUUCGCUCGAGGAGGGCCAGGCCCCCGUGGAGGCGGCGGAAGGAGAGGCGGCCGGAAUCAUAACCGGAGGGAUCAGGCGCUGAGGAAGCAUAUGCAAGGAAUGACAGGGCUUUAG
This 3159-nucleotide ribosomal RNA is filed under the name Triticum aestivum (bread wheat). RNAcentral describes it as "partial small subunit ribosomal RNA". The record is from RNAcentral. Lineage: Eukaryota; Viridiplantae; Streptophyta; Magnoliopsida; Poales; Poaceae.